GUCUUCUGUAAAGCCCCGUCUUCCUAGUCACCGACACGAAAGGGCUCCGUUAGAAACGCACCUUGAAUUCAAGCUGUCCUUUGAUGGGGGAGCACAGGAAUUGACCCGGCUCUCUCUGGCGAGGCAAACCGCAAGACAUCUGCUUCUCCAGGGGCACUGAAGGCGAAAGCGCGCGGGUCCCGGCGCACCCUGGGAGCCCGCGCCCGGCACCUGCCAGAGCCAGCUCGCCGUCGCUGCUGGCGCCAUCCUGAGACCCCCCGAGACGCGGGGCGGCGUGAAGGAACGGGCAGCGCUCCCGCUCCAGCGCCGCCGCGGCAUCCCGCGACUCGCGAGGGGCUGACGGAUCGCCGGGCGGCCUCGAGUCAGCUCUGGGCCUCGCUGCUGCAGCGGCCCAAGGCCUCUCUUGGGAAAGCCAAACCCAGACGGACCCGGGCUCACGAGAGGGUCUGCCCCUGGGCUUGCCCAACCUGGCCAUAGCCACGUAGCUAACCCUCCGACCCGGUGUUCGGCCUCCACUGGCAUCUGCCCUUUCCCGGCGACUCGGUGCCCGGCACGCUGGUGGCUGGAGGGGCGCCCGCUGCGGCCUCCAGCGGAAUGAAGCAGAGCGAGGGGCGCAGACACAGGGAGAGCGCCAUUGGGCCCCACACGCCCUUCUCACCCGCUCCCUGACCUCAAGGAAGAACCGACCAGGCUAGGCCGGCCUCGGGGGCCUGAGGCUGUCCGGCUGGGCCCAACUCUGGAGGUGGCUCGGCCGGGGGAUUGGCCGGCUGGAGGCAAGGGGUAGACCUCAGGCUCCCCAGCCCCGGGGAGGCUCCCGCGCCACCCGCGCGCCUCGCGACGCGCCUCUUGCCGCUCUCAGGCUUAAGGAGAGCACAGCCGGGGCAGGGAUCCAUUCCUGACAGGGCGUCAAAUGCUGGGGUGGGGUGAGAGGGACAAGGUCCAAGGCCUUGGAAUCUGAGUGGAGCAGCACCGGACUGCCCGCGAACUCCCUGCGCUGGGGUCAGAACUAGCGUCUUUGCCCUACCCUGCGGAAGUCAGAGCCGCCCUGAGCCGCGUCGUGAGUCGGAAAAUGCGUCUUAGAAAAACCCUCCAGGAGAGGAGCCGCUGGGGGACCACAGCGUGGGGUUUUCGUGGGCUUCCUCGCUACUCCUGGACUGGAGUGCACGCGCCCAGAGAAUAGCUGGGCUCCCGACUCCUCCGGGCUCCAGCGAAGCCGCAAACAGUGCGGGAAGUUCAAAUGCAAAAUGUCCCCGUCCUGCAGAAGCAGGGGAAAGCUGGGGAGAAGGGACUCGAGUCCUCAGAGAUCUUCAUCCGGUCCUCCAGGGUAAUAAACUUUCGGCGGUUCGAGUUUGGGUAGCAACUGCUCGCGCGCCCUCGUCAGUGUGUUAGCCAUUUCCCUGGAAGCGUCCUUGGUGUCGAAAGCCCAGAGCCGCGAGGAAGCAGAUGACCGAGUCGGCGGAAAUGUCCGAGUGAACCAGCAGCGCAGCUCUCGGAUGGCGCACUGGGAGUGGGACAGCUGAGCACAGACUCAGUGCCCUGAGCGCAGCUGGGUCCUGUAGGCUCUGGGACUUCCCUCUCCUCACACCCAGACCCCGCAACUCGCCGUGGGCCCAGUGGCCUGUCUUCCAUGCCGGCCGUUGGCGCCCGGGGUGUCCGACCGACUGUGCUGUUCCUAGGUGGGCCCCCACAAUGCGUGCGCUCUAGACGCCAGCGUAGGCAAGGGAAGUUUCCUGGGCUGAGGGUGGAGAAACUCAACGGUCCCUCCCGGGCGGGCGCUGAGGCGCCGUGAGAGCACUGCAUGCAACGCCGCGCCGCGCUCAGCCUGGGUCUCCCUUUGGCCGUGGGGCACGCACCUGCCCUCUGCAGCAGCCAGGCUUGGACUCUGCCGAGGGGCUGCCCGGCCACGCGGCUUCCCCCAAAGCCUGGAGCUCGCCGACUCUUCCCUACCUUUCAAAGACCGCAGCGCUCGGGCCAGCGUGGCCCAGACUCCACUGUGGAACUUCGGAGGCUGGGGUGGGCGAAGUAAACACGUUUAUGGAAAAACCUGGGCUCAGGAGGUUUGCGGAAAGAGGGCUCAGCUCGUAGGUGGUUGGAAAUUCCGUCCACCCUGCGAGAAAAGCAGGCGGUUCCGCACACAACAUAUAUACACACGCGCACACACAGGGUGGGAAGGUGUGAAGCCCGCCGCUCGGGAGUUGCCCCCACUUUGAUGAAAAGGAAAUACGAAGCGUAGGAACAACUCUUCAGGUCACCACCCCGGGACUGUGUGUCCUGGAGGUCUGAAAGAAGAGAAAGUUCCCUCCAAAUCUUCCAAAUUGAGAAAAGCUGCGGAAGGAAUGAGGCGGUUAGAGAGAGGGGACCGCAAGCAUCCCCGUAGCUGGGGCUCAGGACUGAGCGCUAAAAUGAAACCACCCCUGUAGAUCCCACUAGGGAAAAUGUCUUUUUAAAACCCUUGAACUCUUAGGCAUUCUGCUACUUCCAUGCUUGUCAAAUCUGCUUUGAAGCAGUUAAAUAAUGAAGGAUAUUAAACACUGGUCUCCGUUCCAAACUCACUCUUUAAUCUUUGCGAAUUUGAAAUUAGAAGGAAAGGAAAAGAUCUGCUAUCCCUGAAUUAUGUUUUACCAAAGGAACGAAAAAUUCUAUACACUUCAGCAUAAAUCAAAUAGAAGGAAUUUUAUCUUAAUAAAAUAAUAUCUCGUAGCUUCUACCUGGCUCCCCAAUCACUGGUUAAUAACCUUUUGACAGUUUUUAGCCUUCUGCUUAUAUUUGUCCACUUAUAUUUGUUCACGAUGGAGAUUAUUUUAAUUGUCCUUCGGGGCGGCACAUCCAAAGCCACCUUUUGGCGGAAUACUUUUGAAUUAUACAGCCUCUUGGCUGCAAGAUCUGCGCCCCUCAAAGGGAGGACUUGCUGGGGGGGGGCGGAGGGCCAAGCCAAAUCCCCUCUGGCGUCUCGUCUGGGACGAAGGGCGUUUUGCUCAGGGUUGCUCAAGAAUAUGUCUUCUAGGAAAAGGCUGUUUAAAAUGAGCGUGUGUUAUUCCUUUCUGUCACUCGGUCACCCUACUUCCAGAGUAGCUGAAGUGCGUUCU
Molecule: long non-coding RNA, 3086 nt
Organism: Equus caballus (horse)
Lineage: Eukaryota; Metazoa; Chordata; Mammalia; Perissodactyla; Equidae
Source: Ensembl